CAAAAGCACCUCAUCCACCAGAUGACAGAAGAGAUUGUCAUCAUAGAGCAGACAUGGGAUGUCUGCAGCUAACUUCUCAAGAACGAGCAUCAUGAGGCCCCGGGAAAAUUCAAGCUGAAAGAAACAUGUAAGCAGGAGAGUAUCUCCAGCUCUAUAUCUGUUCCAGGGUGGACGUGCCCUAAGCGCCAGAGAAAGUGGAAGGCCACAGCAGCUUCCUGACAAAGAAGGAAAUGGAGAUGCUGACCUUUUCCCUCUUCCUUGUCCAGACCAAGAUUCAGGAAACAAGUUAUCCCUUGUAUUUUUCUUCCCAGAUCAACUUUUACUGGCAAAUUCACUGAAGGUAAAGUACCACUAAACAGUUACCAUUUUGACUCUAAUUAAGGCGGUGGUCAUCUCUCCUAGAUCAUUAAUUAGCCCCUCCAAAUUCCUGAUGCUUGAUAAGUUGUUGUUUCAUUAAGAUAACAGGCAGGCCCCAAUUAUUCUGAAUUGGUGCGGGGGGGGCAGACUCCAGUGAAACUACACCAGUCCCUGCACUAAGUCUGGGUCAGGAAGUAUAGCUUAUCUUCAAAUUAUCCCACAUUUUACAAUUUUAGAAAGAAAGAUAGGUGCAUGAUGAUAACCAGUACUUAAUACAAUGCAAGUAUAUUGUAGCAAAAAAAAAAAAAAAAAAUGGAGAGAUUCAUCUUAAAGACAACAGGCUACGACUCUUCUGCUCCGCAGACCCUGGAGGGCUGAGUUUAGGAGAGAUGGCUGGGUAAAGAAUGGUAAGGUGUUUCGAGUCUGCUUACUUUUCUCCUCGACGUCCUUCCUUUCGUUACCACUUUCAGAGCAGCACUAGAAGAACAGGUGUAACAAACACAUUAAGACUGGAGUGAUAGGUGGAACUCCUCAGGAUUCCCAGAGGGCGCAAGGUCCCAGACUCCCUCCCCUGGGGUCUUCCUGAGGGGUCAGGGCCAUCUGACGCAGGUGGCCCUGAGGACCACCACUGCCACCUCCCCAGAACCGCUGGAGUUACCUUGCCCAGCCUCAGGGCAUGUCUCUACGUCCCUAGAGACAACUAUCUGUGUCAUCUCAUCAGGGUCGCCAGAGCCACCGCCCUGGGACCACCUUCUCUGGGAGGUCCGUGCCACCUCGCCAGAUUGGAAGGCCUGUCUCCCCGGGCCACGGAAACCACGUCCCCAGGCCGCCAGGGCCACCUCACCGACGCAAUCUCCUUUGGCAGAUCUGUGCCACCUCCCCGGGCUACCAGCGUCCCCUCCCCGGGCCACCAGGGCCGCCUCACCGGGGCUGCCGGCGCCUUGCCGAUCUCGGCGGCCGGGAGCAUCCCGUCUCCGCGCGAGUCCUCGGCUCCAUGAGCAGCCAGCGUGGCU
Long non-coding RNA from Acinonyx jubatus (cheetah), 1370 nucleotides. RefSeq lists it as uncharacterized. The record is from RefSeq and is a predicted model, not a curated record. The transcript is spliced from 3 exons. NCBI's taxonomy places the organism in Eukaryota, Metazoa, Chordata, Mammalia, Carnivora, Felidae.